RNAcentral lists this ribosomal RNA (429 nucleotides) under Gemmatimonadota bacterium. Its description in RNAcentral is "Gemmatimonadetes bacterium partial 16S ribosomal RNA". It matches the Rfam family "Bacterial small subunit ribosomal RNA", at positions 355 to 776 of the family's 1533-position model. Lineage: Bacteria; Pseudomonadati; Gemmatimonadota. The record is from RNAcentral.
UAGGGAAUCUUCGGCAAUUGACGAAAGUCUGACCGAGCAACGCCGCGUGAGUGAAGAAGGUUUUCGGAUCGUAAAACUCUGUUGUUAGAGAAGAACAAUGACGUUAGUAACUGAACGUCCCCUGACGGUAUCUAACCAGAAAGCCACGGCUAACUACGUGCCAGCAGCCGCGGUAAUACGUAGGUGGCAAGCGUUGUCCGGAUUUAUUGGGCGUAAAGCGAGCGCAGGCGGUUUCUUAAGUCUGAUGUGAAAGCCCCCGGCUCAGCCGGGGACAGUCAUUGGAAGCUGGGAGACUUGAGUGCAGAAGAGGAGAGUGGAAUUCCAUGUGUAGCGGUGAAAUGCGUAGAUAUAUGGAAGAACGCCAGUGGCGAACGCGGCUCUAUGGUAUGUAACUGACACUGAGGCUCGAAGGCGUGGGGAGCAAACAAG